Molecule: transfer RNA, 65 nt
Filed under: Phagocata gracilis
Lineage: Eukaryota; Metazoa; Platyhelminthes; Tricladida; Planariidae
Description: tRNA-Lys
Source: RNAcentral
UGCUUUGUAGCUUAUACUAUAAAGUUCUAAAUUCUUAAUUUAGGGAAGAAAUAAUUCCAAAGUAA